RNAcentral lists this ribosomal RNA (450 nucleotides) under uncultured bacterium. RNAcentral describes it as "bacterial SSU rRNA". It matches the Rfam family "Bacterial small subunit ribosomal RNA", at positions 355 to 796 of the family's 1533-position model. The record is from RNAcentral.
UGGGGAAUCUUGCGCAAUGGACGAAAGUCUGACGCAGCCACGCCGCGUGAGUGAAGAAGGCCUUCGGGUUGUAAAGCUCUGUCGGAGGGGACGAAAAGCGUUGGUGUUAACAGCAUCAACGCCUGACGGUACCCUUAAAGGAAGCACCGGCUAACUCUGUGCCAGCAGCCGCGGUAAUACAGAGGGUGCAAGCGUUGCUCGGAAUUAUUGGGCGUAAAGGGUAGGUAGGUGGUCUCAUUUGUGUGGGGUGAAAGCCUUGAGCUUAACUCAAGAAGUGCCCCGCAAACGGUGAGACUGGAGUACUGGAGAGGCUAGCGGAAUUCCCGGUGUAGCGGUGAAAUGCGUAGAGAUCGGGAGGAACACCAGAGGCGAAGGCGGCUAGCUGGACAGUUACUGACACUCAACUACGAAAGCGUGGGGAGCAAACAGGAUUAGAUACCCCUGUAGUCC